Molecule: ribosomal RNA, 900 nt
Filed under: Triticum aestivum (bread wheat)
Lineage: Eukaryota; Viridiplantae; Streptophyta; Magnoliopsida; Poales; Poaceae
Description: partial small subunit ribosomal RNA
Source: RNAcentral
AUGUUCUUGUGGAUGGUUGGUGGCCCCCAAUCAUUCUCUCAAGUUGAGAAUCGUUUUUCGAGAUCAACGGAAACGGUCCAUCGAAAGUUCAAAGAGGUCUUGAAUUGCUUGUGCAAGUUAGCAGGACAUAACAUAACACCUCGAGAUGAUACUUUCACAACCGUGCAUGCAAGAAUUCAAGAUGAGAGAUUUUGGCCUCAUUUCAAAGGUGCGAUCGGUGCAAUAGAUGGCUGCCACAUCCCAGUUACAGUGCCAUCGGAUGAGGUUGUUAACCACACAGGUCGCCAUGGAUUUCCAUCACAAAAUGUUAUGGCGGUUUGCGACUUUGACAUGAGGUUUACUUUUGUUGUGGCUGGUUGGCCCGGUUCAGCACAUGACACAAGGAUCUUAAAUGAUAGCUUGGUAAAGUAUGCACAUCGCUUCCCUACACCACCACCAGGAAAAUAUUACCUCAUUGAUUCGGGAUAUCCAAACCGUGAAGGAUACCUUGCUCCUUACAAAGGCCAAAUAUACCACAUACCAGAAUUUCGUAAUGGACGAAAACCGGUGGGCAAAUAUGAGGUGUAUAAUCAUAGCCACUCUUCACUUAGAAAUGUUGUUGAGCGAACAUUUGGAGUGCUCAAAGCUAAAUGGCGCAUCUUGAAGGGUGUACCUAGUUUCAAACCUUGUACACAGAAAAAGAUUAUUAUUGCUUGUAUGGCGUUGCACAACUAUAUUCGUGAGACCAAGUUGCCCGACGAGGAGUUUGACAAAUGUGAUGAAGAUGAGGAUUAUAUUCCUGAUGAGGACUUGGAAGUAGUGCCAGUCAAAGGAGCUAGUGUUCCGGCGAGACUUAACAUUGUCGACAUGAACAUAGUCCGUGAUAGAAUUGCUAACUCCUUGAUGAGCUCUACUGCAUGA